CAGCAGCCGCGGGAAAACGAAGGGGGCUAGCGUUGUUCGGAAUUACUGGGCGUAAAGCGCACGUAGGCGGAUCUUUAAGUCAGGGGUGAAAUCCCGAGGCUCAACCUCGGAACUGCCUUUGAUACUGGGGAUCUCGAGUCCGGAAGAGGUAAGUGGAACUGCGAGUGUAGAGGUGAAAUUCGUAGAUAUUCGCAAGAACACCAGUGGCGAAGGCGGCUUACUGGUCCGGAACUGACGCUGAGGUGCGAAAGCGUGGGGAGCAAACAGGAUUAGAGACCCGAGUAGUCCCUGUCUCUUAUAC
Molecule: ribosomal RNA, 301 nt
Filed under: uncultured bacterium
Lineage: Bacteria
Description: partial 16S ribosomal RNA
Rfam family: Bacterial small subunit ribosomal RNA
Source: RNAcentral